This 356-nucleotide ribosomal RNA is filed under the name Cucumispora sp. RNAcentral describes it as "SSU rRNA". It matches the Rfam family "Microsporidia small subunit ribosomal RNA", at positions 91 to 398 of the family's 1311-position model. The record is from RNAcentral. Lineage: Eukaryota; Fungi; Microsporidia.
GUAACAGGCGAAUAAUUUAAUCUUUACAAACGGACAAACUCAGGAAACGGAGUGAAAUACGAAAAAGUUGAUAUUUUUAUAAAAGAAAAUCGAAACUAGCUUGAAAAAGCGGUAAAGAAUAAGACGCCAGCCCAUCAGUUAGUAAGUAGGGUAAGGGCCUAUUUAGACGAAUACGGGUACGGGGAAUUAGGGUUUGAUUCCGGAGAGGGAGCCUGAGAGACGGCUACCAGGUCCAAGGACGGCAGCAGGCGCGAAAAUUACCGAAGCUCGAAAUGAGGCGGUAGUAAUGAGACGUAAAUAAAUAAUACAAGGGUAAAAAACUUGUUAAUAACUGGAGGUCAAGUCUGGUGCCAGCA